Molecule: ribosomal RNA, 253 nt
Filed under: uncultured bacterium
Lineage: Bacteria
Description: partial 16S ribosomal RNA
Rfam family: Bacterial small subunit ribosomal RNA
Source: RNAcentral
UACGUAGGGGGCAAGCGUUGUCCGGAUUUAUUGGGCGUAAAGAGCGUGUAGGCGGCCAGGUAGGUCAGCUGUGAAAACUCGAGGCUCAACCUCGAGACGCCGGUUGAAACUAUCGUGCUAGAGUCCGGAAGAGGAGAGUGGAAUUCCUGGUGUAGCGGUGAAAUGCGCAGAUAUCAGGAAGAACACCCGUGGCUAAGGCGGCUCUCUAGUACGGUACUGACGCUGAGACGCGAAAGCGUGGGGAGCGAACAGG